AACGCACAUUGCGCCCUGUGGUAUUCCGCAGGGCAUGCCUGUUCGAGCGUCAUUUCAACCCUCAAGCCUCGCUUGGUGUUGGGCCCUGCCCGUCGCGGCCGGCCCUAAAGAUAGUGGCGGCGCCGCCUGGCCCUCAGCGUAGUACAGCUCUCGCUCCAGGGUCCGGCGGCAGCCUGCCAGAACCCCCCAACUCUUGUGGUUGACCUCGGAUCAGGUAGGGAUACCCGCUGAACUUAA
RNAcentral lists this unclassified non-coding RNA (237 nucleotides) under uncultured fungus. RNAcentral describes it as "partial contains 5.8S ribosomal RNA, internal transcribed spacer 2, and large subunit ribosomal RNA". The stretch from base 1 to 52 matches the Rfam family "5.8S ribosomal RNA", at positions 103 to 154 of the family's 154-position model. Lineage: Eukaryota; Fungi. The record is from RNAcentral.